AACGGCCACACCACUUUGUAAACACCGGUUCUCGUUCGAUCACCGUAGUUAAACAAAGUUGGGCGUGGUUAGUACUUGGAUGGGUGACCGCCUGGGAACCCCAUGUGCUGUU
RNAcentral lists this ribosomal RNA (112 nucleotides) under Curvitermes sp. 1 MW-2022b. The record is from RNAcentral. Lineage: Eukaryota; Metazoa; Arthropoda; Insecta; Blattodea; Termitidae.